RNAcentral lists this ribosomal RNA (1177 nucleotides) under Achromobacter sp. ACM01. RNAcentral describes it as "partial 23S ribosomal RNA". It matches the Rfam family "Bacterial large subunit ribosomal RNA", at positions 1 to 1216 of the family's 2925-position model. The record is from RNAcentral. Lineage: Bacteria; Pseudomonadati; Pseudomonadota; Betaproteobacteria; Burkholderiales; Alcaligenaceae.
GUUAUAGGAUCAAGCGACUAAGUGCAUAUGGUGGAUGCCUUGGCGAUCACAGGCGAUGAAGGACGUAGUAGCCUGCGAAAAGCUACGGGGAGCUGGCAAACAAGCUUUGAUCCGUAGAUGUCCGAAUGGGGAAACCCACUCCGCAAGGAGUAUCCCUGGCUGAAUACAUAGGCCAGUGGAAGCGAACCGGGUGAACUGAAACAUCUCAGUAGCUCGAGGAAAAGAAAUCAACCGAGAUUCCGAAAGUAGUGGCGAGCGAAAUCGGAAGAGCCUUUACGUUUUAGCACGCAAGAUAGUCGAACGGAAUGGAAAGUCCGGCCGUAGCAGGUGAUAGCCCUGUAGGCGAAAUCUUGUGUGUGGAACUAAGCGUAAGAAAAGUAGGGCGGGACACGUGAAAUCCUGUUUGAAGAUGGGGGGACCAUCCUCCAAGGCUAAAUACUCGUGAUCGACCGAUAGUGAACCAGUACCGUGAGGGAAAGGCGAAAAGAACCCCGGAAGGGGAGUGAAAUAGAUCCUGAAACCGUAUGCAUACAAACAGUAGGAGCCUCCUUGUGGGGUGACUGCGUACCUUUUGUAUAAUGGGUCAGCGACUUACAUUCAGUGGCAAGGUUAACCGAAUAGGGAAGCCGUAGCGAAAGCGAGUCCGAAUAGGGCGAUUCAGUCGCUGGGUGUAGACCCGAAACCAGAUGAUCUAUCCAUGGCCAGGUUGAAGGCACGGUAACACGUGCUGGAGGACCGAACCCACUAAUGUUGAAAAAUUAGGGGAUGAGCUGUGGAUAGGGGUGAAAGGCUAAACAAAUCUGGAAAUAGCUGGUUCUCUCCGAAAACUAUUUAGGUAGUGCCUCAAGUAUUACUGCGGGGGGUAGAGCACUGUUAUAGCUAGGGGGUCAUGGCGACUUACCAAACUAUGGCAAACUCCGAAUACCCGCAAGUACAGCUUGGGAGACAGAGCACCGGGUGCUAACGUCCGGACUCAAGAGGGAAACAACCCAGACCGCCAGCUAAGGUCCCAAAUUAUCGCUAAGUGGGAAACGAAGUGGGAAGGCAUAGACAGUCAGGAGGUUGGCUUAGAAGCAGCCAUCCUUUAAAGAAAGCGUAAUAGCUCACUGAUCGAGUCGUCCUGCGCGGAAGAUGUAACGGGGCUAAGCGAUAAACCGAAGCUGCGGGUGUGCACUUU